Molecule: ribosomal RNA, 229 nt
Filed under: uncultured bacterium
Lineage: Bacteria
Description: partial 16S ribosomal RNA
Rfam family: Bacterial small subunit ribosomal RNA
Source: RNAcentral
UCCGUAGGUGGAUUAAUAAGUCAGAGGUGAAAUCCUGCAGCUUAACUGUAGAACUGCCUUUGAUACUGUUAAUCUUGAGUCAUUAUGAAGUGGUUAGAAUGUGUAGUGUAGCGGUGAAAUGCAUAGAUAUUACACAGAAUACCGAUUGCGAAGGCAGAUCACUAAUAAUGUACUGACACUGAGGGACGAAAGCGUGGGGAGCGAACAGGAUUAGAUACCCUGGUAGUCC